GCUUUAAUACAUGCAAGUCGAACGAAAUAUUUAGCACUUGUGUUAAAUAAUUUAGUGGCGAACGGGUGAGUAACACGUAAGAACUUACCCCUAGACGAGGUACAACAGUUGGAAACGACUGCUAAUACCUCAUAUUACCGGAAGGUGAAAGAAGCAAUUCGUCUAGGGCGAGGCUUGCGUCUGAUUAGCUUGUUGGUGAGGUAAAGGCUUACCAAGGCGACGAUCAGUAGUUGGUCUUAGAGGAUGAUCAGCCACAUUGGGACUGAGACACGGCCCAAACUUUUACGGGAGGCAGCAGUAAGGAAUUUUCCGCAAUGGGCGCAAGCCUGACGGAGCAAUACCGCGUGAAGGAUGACGGCCCAUGGGUUGUAAACUUCUUUUCUUGGAGAAGAAUUCUGACGGUAUCCAAGGAAUAAGCAUCGGCUAACUCCGUGCCAGCAGCCGCGGUAAGACGGGGGAUGCAAGCGUUAUUCGGAAUUAUUGGGCGUAAAGCGUCUGUAGGUGGUAAGGAAAGUGUAAUGUUAAAGAUCAGGGCUCAACCCUGGGAAAGCAUUGCAAACUAUCUUACUUGAGUUCGGUAGGAGCAGAGAGAAUUCCCAGUGUAGCGGUGAAAUGCGUAGAUAUUGGGAGGAAGACCGGUGGCGAAGGCGUUCUGCUGGGCCGUAACUGACACUCAGAGACGAAAGCUAAGGUAGCAAAUAGGAUUAGAUACCCUAGUAGUCUUAGCUGUAAACGAUGCACACUAUGUUUUGCAAUUUGCAGAGCAAUAGCUAACGCGUUAAGUGUGCCGCCUGGGGAGUACAUUCGCAAGGAUGAAACUCAAAGGAAUUGACGGGGACCCGCACAAGCGGUGGAGCAUGUGUUUAAUUCGAUGCAACGCGAAGAACCUUACCAAGAAUUGACAUGCUGCGAACGUUUACGAAAGUAAAAGUCUAUUACUUAGUAUAGCGCAGACUCAGGUGGUGCAUGCUGUCGUCAGCUCGUGCCGUGAGUGUUAGGAUAGUCCUGCAACGAGCCGCAACCC
This 1024-nucleotide ribosomal RNA is filed under the name uncultured phototrophic eukaryote. Its description in RNAcentral is "bacterial SSU rRNA". It matches the Rfam family "Bacterial small subunit ribosomal RNA", at positions 46 to 1104 of the family's 1533-position model. The record is from RNAcentral.